Molecule: ribosomal RNA, 1205 nt
Filed under: uncultured Prochlorococcus sp.
Lineage: Bacteria; Bacillati; Cyanobacteriota; Cyanophyceae; Synechococcales; Prochlorococcaceae
Description: partial 16S ribosomal RNA
Rfam family: Bacterial small subunit ribosomal RNA
Source: RNAcentral
UGCAAGUCGAACGAACCUUCGGGUUAGUGGCGGACGGGUGAGUAACGCGUGAGAAUCUGCCCUCAGGAGGGGGAUAACGGUUGGAAACGACCGCUAAUACCCCAUAUGCCUACUGGUGAAAUGAAUUUCGCCUGAGGAUGAGCUCGCGUCUGAUUAGCUAGUUGGUGAGGUGAUGGCUCACCAAGGCUUCGAUCAGUAGCUGGUCUGAGAGGAUGAUUAGCCACACUGGGACUGAGACACGGCCCAGACUCCUACGGGAGGCAGCAGUGGGGAAUUUUCCGCAAUGGGCGAAAGCCUGACGGAGCAACGCCGCGUGAGGGACGAAGGCCUCUGGGCUGUAAACCUCUUUUCUCAAGGAAGAAGAUAUGACGGUACUUGAGGAAUAAGCCACGGCUAAUUCCGUGCCAGCAGCCGCGGUAAUACGGGAGUGGCAAGCGUUAUCCGGAAUUAUUGGGCGUAAAGCGUCCGCAGGCGGCUUUUCAAGUCUGCUGUUAAAGCGUGGAGCUUAACUCCAUCAUGGCAGUGGAAACUGAAAGGCUUGAGUAUGGUAGGGGCAGAGGGAAUUCCCGGUGUAGCGGUGAAAUGCGUAGAUAUCGGGAAGAACACCAGUGGCGAAGGCGCUCUGCUGGGCCAUUACUGACGCUCAUGGACGAAAGCCAGGGGAGCGAAAGGGAUUAGAUACCCCUGUAGUCCUGGCCGUAAACGAUGAACACUAGGUGUCGGGGGAAUCGACCCCUUCGGUGUCGUAGCUAACGCGUUAAGUGUUCCGCCUGGGGAGUACGCACGCGAGUGUGAAACUCAAAGGAAUUGACGGGGGCCCGCACAAGCGGUGAGUAUGUGUUUAAUUCGAUGCAACGCGAAGAUCUUACCAGGGUUUGACAUCCUGCGAACCUCUUAGAAUUUGAGGGUGCCUUUCGGGAAUGCAGUGACAGUGUGCAUGCUUGUCGUCAGCUCGUGUCGUGAGAUGUUGGUUAAGUCCCGCAACGAGCGCAACCACGUUUUUAGUUGCCAGCAUUUAGUUGGCACUUCUAAAAAGACCGCCGUGAUAAACGGAGGAGGGUGUGAUGACGUCAAGCUAUCUAUGCCCUUUAACCCUGGCUACCCCGUAUAAAAUGCUACGACAGGGCACAUCUCUGCGGAGCUAAUCUAACCGGUCAUUCGAAGGAGCUGCCACUCCCACGGAGAGAGAACCGCCAUGCAAUCGC